GAUGAACGCUGGCGGCGUGCCUAAUACAUGCAAGUCGAGCGAACAGAUGAGGAGCUUGCUCCUCUGACGUUAGCGGCGGACGGGUGAGUAACACGUGGAUAACCUACCUAUAAGACUGGGAUAACUUCGUGAAACCGGAGCUAAUACCGGAUAAUAUAUUGAACCGCAUGGUUCAAUAGUGAAAGACGGUUUUGCUGUCACUUAUAGAUGGAUCCGCGCCGCAUUAGCUAGUUGGUAAGGUAACGGCUUACCAAGGCAACGAUGCGUAGCCGACCUGAGAGGGUGAUCGGCCACACUGGAACUGAGACACGGUCCAGACUCCUACGGGAGGCAGCAGUAGGGAAUCUUCCGCAAUGGGCGAAAGCCUGACGGAGCAACGCCGCGUGAGUGAUGAAGGUCUUCGGAUCGUAAAACUCUGUUAUUAGGGAAGAACAAAUGUGUAAGUAACUAUGCACGUCUUGACGGUACCUAAUCAGAAAGCAACGGCUAACUACGUG
This 497-nucleotide ribosomal RNA is filed under the name uncultured bacterium. RNAcentral describes it as "partial 16S ribosomal RNA". It matches the Rfam family "Bacterial small subunit ribosomal RNA", at positions 28 to 507 of the family's 1533-position model. The record is from RNAcentral.